CGAGCAAUCUGCCCUUCUCUUUGGAAUAAGCGUUGGAAACGACGUCUAAUGCCGAAUACGACCUCCUUUCGCAUGAUCGGAGGUGGAAAGCUCCGGCGGAGAAGGAUGAGCUCGCGGCCUAUCAGCUAGUUGGUGUGGGUAACGGCCCACCAAGGCGACGACGGGUAGCCGGCCUGAGAGGGUGACCGGCCACACUGGGACUGAGACACGGCCCAGACCUCCGUACGGGAGGCAGCAGG
This 239-nucleotide ribosomal RNA is filed under the name uncultured bacterium. RNAcentral describes it as "partial 16S ribosomal RNA". It matches the Rfam family "Bacterial small subunit ribosomal RNA", at positions 118 to 354 of the family's 1533-position model. The record is from RNAcentral.